GGGACAAUCUUGGGGCGGAUGGCGACACGAGCUCGAGAACGCACUGUGGAGACGAGCGGCAUCUGAGGCGAAAGCGGAGAUUGGACACUCCCUGCUGGCAUGCAGCCUCUGGAGACAAGCUGAUCACUAUCAUGGAAUGUUGGAAGAAUUCCUAACCCAUGGCCAGAAGGUAAGGGGAUCGCAACCCUUGGCUUGGUGCCGUCCGCACUGCGCUCAGCCAGUGAGCUCACCGGCCAUCCCUAUAUAGGAUCUGAACCCACGGCGGGAGCGCUGCUGCGCUCCCAGCGCCACACUCUCCUGAGUGAGCCACGGGGUCAGCCCCUUUUUAAAAAUUUUUUAAAUUAAAACAAAUUUUUUGUGUGUUUUUAA
Molecule: long non-coding RNA, 369 nt
Organism: Cynocephalus volans (Philippine flying lemur)
Lineage: Eukaryota; Metazoa; Chordata; Mammalia; Dermoptera; Cynocephalidae
Exons: 3
Source: RefSeq, a predicted model, not a curated record